ACGCACGCUGGCGGCGUGCUUCACCCCUGCCAGUCGAACGCAAAGAGGGAAAGAGCUUGCUCUUUCCGGAAUUGAGUGGCAAACGGGUGAGUAACACGUAAACAACCUGCCUUCAGGAUGGGGACAACAGACGGAAACGACUGCUAAUACCGAAUAAGUUCCAAGAGCCGCAUGGCCCAUGGAAGAAAAGGUGGCCUCUACCUGUAAGCUAUCGCCUGAAGAGGGGUUUGCGUCUGAUAGCUGGUUGGAGGGGUAACGGCCCACCAAGGCGACGAUCAGUAGCCGGUCUGAGAGGAUGAACGGCCACACUGGAACUGAGACACGGUCCAGACUCCUACGGGAGGCAGCAGUGGGGAAUCUUCCGCAAUGGGCGAAAGCCUGACGGAGCAACGCCGCGUGAGUGAUGACGGCCUUCGGGUUGUAAAACUCUGUGAUCCGGGACGAAAAGGCAGAGUGCGAAGAACAAACUGCAUUGACGGUACCGGAAAAGCAAGCCACGGCUAACUACGUG
This 511-nucleotide ribosomal RNA is filed under the name uncultured bacterium. RNAcentral describes it as "partial 16S ribosomal RNA". It matches the Rfam family "Bacterial small subunit ribosomal RNA", at positions 29 to 507 of the family's 1533-position model. The record is from RNAcentral.